This 411-nucleotide ribosomal RNA is filed under the name uncultured bacterium. RNAcentral describes it as "bacterial SSU rRNA". It matches the Rfam family "Bacterial small subunit ribosomal RNA", at positions 368 to 769 of the family's 1533-position model. The record is from RNAcentral.
ACGAAUGGGCGAAAGCCUGAUCCAGCCAUGCCGCGUGAGUGAAGAAGGCCUCGGUUGUAAAGCUCUUUCAGCCGGAAAGAAAUCGCGCAGGAUAAUACUCUGCGUGGAUGACGGUACCGGAAGAAGAAGCACCGGCUAACUACGUGCCAGCAGCCGCGGUAAUACGUAGGGUGCGAGCGUUAAUCGGAAUUACUGGGCGUAAAGCGUGCGCAGGCGGUUAUGUAAGACAGAUGUGAAAUCCCCCGGGCUCAACCUGGGAACUGCGUUUUGUGACUGCAUAACUAGAGUACGGCAGAGGGAGGUGGAAUUCCGCGUGUAGCAGUGAAAAUGCGUAGAUAUGCGGAGGAACACCGAUGGCGAAGGCAGCCUCCUGGGCCAGUACUGACGCUCAUGCACGAAAGCGUGGGGAGC